This 908-nucleotide ribosomal RNA is filed under the name Preussia minima. Its description in RNAcentral is "LSU rRNA". It matches the Rfam family "Eukaryotic large subunit ribosomal RNA", at positions 38 to 963 of the family's 3401-position model. Lineage: Eukaryota; Fungi; Ascomycota; Dothideomycetes; Pleosporales; Sporormiaceae. The record is from RNAcentral.
GCAUAUCAAUAAGCGGAGGAAAAGAAACCAACAGGGAUUGCCCUAGUAACGGCGAGUGAAGCGGCAACAGCUCAAAUUUGAAAUCUGGCCCUUUCAGGGUCCGAGUUGUAAUUUGUAGAGGGUGCUUUGGCGUUGGCUGUGGUCUAAGUUCCUUGGAACAGGACGUCGCAGAGGGUGAGAAUCCCGUAUGUGGCCGCCAGUCUUCGCCGUGUAAAGCCCCUUCGACGAGUCGAGUUGUUUGGGAAUGCAGCUCUAAAUGGGAGGUAAAUUUCUUCUAAAGCUAAAUAUUGGCCAGAGACCGAUAGCGCACAAGUAGAGUGAUCGAAAGAUGAAAAGCACUUUGGAAAGAGAGUCAAAAAGCACGUGAAAUUGUUGAAAGGGAAGCGCUUGCAGCCAGACUUGCCUGUAGUUGCUCAUCCGGGCUUUUGCCCGGUGCACUCUUCUAUGGGCAGGCCAGCAUCAGUCCCAGCGGUUGGAUAAAUGUCUGUUGAACGUACCUCUCUUCGGGGAGGACUUAUAGCUUCAGGCGGCAUACAACCAGCCGGGAUUGAGGUCCGCGCAUCUGCUAGGAUGCUGGCGUAAUGGCUGUAAGCGGCCCGUCUUGAAACACGGACCAAGGAGUCUAACAUCUAUGCGAGUGUUUGGGUGUCAAGCCCGAGCGCGUAAUGAAAGUGAACGGAGGUGGGAACCCCUCGGGGCGCACCAUCGACCGAUCCUGAUGUCUUCGGAUGGAUUUGAGUAAGAGCAUAGCUGUUGGGACCCGAAAGAUGGUGAACUAUGCCUGAAUAGGGUGAAGCCAGAGGAAACUCUGGUGGAGGCUCGCAGCGGUUCUGACGUGCAAAUCGAUCGUCAAAUUUGGGCAUAGGGGCGAAAGACUAAUCGAACCAUCUAGUAGCUGGUUCCUGCGA